CAGCAGCAGCCGCGGUAAUACAGAGGAUGCAAGCGUUAUCCGGAAUGAUUGGGCGUAAAGGGCUCGCAGGCGGUUUCUUAAGUCUGAUGUGAAAGCCCCCGGCUCAACCGGGGAGGGUCAUUGGAAACUGGGAAACUUGAGUACAGAAGAGGAGAGUGGAAUUCCACGUGUAGCGGUGAAAUGCGUAGAGAUGUGGAGGAACACCAGUGGCGAAGGCGACUCUCUGGUCUGUAACUGACGCUGAGGAGCGAAAGCGUGGGGAGCGAACAGGAUUAGAGACCCCUGUAGUCCCUGUCUCUUAUAC
RNAcentral lists this ribosomal RNA (304 nucleotides) under uncultured bacterium. RNAcentral's name for it is "partial 16S ribosomal RNA". It matches the Rfam family "Bacterial small subunit ribosomal RNA", at positions 506 to 807 of the family's 1533-position model. The record is from RNAcentral.